RNAcentral lists this ribosomal RNA (468 nucleotides) under uncultured bacterium. RNAcentral's name for it is "bacterial SSU rRNA". It matches the Rfam family "Bacterial small subunit ribosomal RNA", at positions 1 to 522 of the family's 1533-position model. The record is from RNAcentral.
CUAGAGUUUGAUCCUGGCUCAGAGCGAACGCUGGCGGCAGGCCUAACACAUGCAAGUCGAGCGCCCAGCAAUGGGAGCGGCAGACGGGUGAGUAACACGUGGGAACGUACCCUUUGGUUCGGAACAACACAGGGAAACUUGUGCUAAUACCGGAUAAGCCCUUACGGGGAAAGAUUUAUCGCCGAAAGAUCGGCCCGCGUCUGAUUAGCUAGUUGGUGAGGUAACGGCUCACCAAGGCGACGAUCAGUAGCUGGUCUGAGAGGAUGAUCAGCCACAUUGGGACUGAGACACGGCCCAAACUCCUACGGGAGGCAGCAGUGGGGAAUAUUGGACAAUGGGCGCAAGCCUGAUCCAGCCAUGCCGCGUGAGUGAUGAAGGCCCUAGGGUUGUAAAGCUCUUUUGUGCGGGAAGAUAAUGACGGUACCGCAAGAAUAAGCCCCGGCUAACUUCGUGCCAGCAGCCGCGGUA